CCUACGGGAGGCAGCAGUGAGGAAUAUUGGUCAAUGGACGAGAGUCUGAACCAGCCAAGUAGCGUGAAGGAUGACUGCCCUAUGGGUUGUCAACUUCUUUUAUAAAGGAAUAAAACGAGGCACGUGUGCCUUUUUGCAUGUACUUUAUGAAUAAGGAUCGGCUAACUCCGUGCCAGCAGCCGCGGUAAUACGGAGGAUCCGAGCGUUAUCCGGAUUUAUUCGGUUUAAAGGGAGCGUAGAUGGGUUGUUAAGUCAGUUGUGAAAGUUUGCGGCUCAACCGUAAAAUUGCAAUUGAUACUGGCAGUCUUGAGUACAGUUGAGGUAGGCGGAAUUCGUGGUGUAGCGGUGAAAUGCUUAGAUAUCACGAAGAACCCCGAUUGCGAAGGCAGCUUACUAAACUGUGACUGACAUUGAUGCUCGAAAGUGUGGGUAUCAAACAGGAUUAGAUACCCCUGUAGUC
Molecule: ribosomal RNA, 460 nt
Filed under: uncultured bacterium
Lineage: Bacteria
Description: partial 16S ribosomal RNA
Rfam family: Bacterial small subunit ribosomal RNA
Source: RNAcentral